AGACACUGCAGAGAAUUGCACCAUCCGUACUUUCUUACUCCCACAGAAGAGCCAUCACAGACUCCAAAAGCCCUCGGGCUGCAGGAACAGUAGCACUCAAUUAAAUUGGAAGUUCAGCUCAGGUACCCUCUGCCUGCAGGCCCAGGAGCUCCCUGUCAGCUCAGUCCUUGCCUGAGUUAAGCUGUAGCUUUUGGGCCGGAAUAACAAGUAUGGCUUUGCUUCCUUUAAAGCAAACAAAAGCAAGAAGAAGAAGACCAAUUACUACAGUGCAAGGAGUGAAAACAUGAGAAAGUCCAUCAUUAAUAAGAAUAAUUUUUCAGAA
Molecule: long non-coding RNA, 322 nt
Organism: Pipra filicauda (Wire-tailed manakin)
Lineage: Eukaryota; Metazoa; Chordata; Aves; Passeriformes; Pipridae
Exons: 2
Source: RefSeq, a predicted model, not a curated record